Molecule: ribosomal RNA, 509 nt
Filed under: uncultured bacterium
Lineage: Bacteria
Description: bacterial SSU rRNA
Rfam family: Bacterial small subunit ribosomal RNA
Source: RNAcentral
CAGCUCGUGUCGUGAGAUGUUGGGUUAAGUCCCGCAACGAGCGCAACCCUUGCCUCCUGUUGCUAACGAGUAAAGUCGAGCACUCUGGAGAGACUGCCGGUGAUAAACCGGAGGAAGGUGGGGAUGACGUCAAGUCCUCAUGGCCUUUAUGCCCCGGGCUACACACGUGCUACAAUGGCUGGUACAAAGGGUCGCAAAGCCGCGAGGUGGAGCUAAUCCCAGAAAACCAGUCCCAGUUCGGAUUGCAGUCUGCAACUCGACUGCAUGAAGUUGGAAUCGCUAGUAAUCGCGGAUCAGCACGCCGCGGUGAAUACGUUCCCGGGCCUUGUACACACCGCUCGUCACAUCACGAAAGCCGGCUGUACUAGAAGUCGCUGCGCCGACCCCGCAAGGGGAGGCAGGCGCCCACGGUAUGGUCGGUGAUUGGGGUGAAGUCGUAACAAGGUAGCUGUAGGAGAACCUGCGGCUGGAUCACCUCCUUAAUCGGAUCCCGGGCCCGUCGACUUGGA